RNAcentral lists this ribosomal RNA (429 nucleotides) under Bacteroidota bacterium. Its description in RNAcentral is "Bacteroidetes bacterium partial 16S ribosomal RNA". It matches the Rfam family "Bacterial small subunit ribosomal RNA", at positions 355 to 776 of the family's 1533-position model. The record is from RNAcentral. Lineage: Bacteria; Pseudomonadati; Bacteroidota.
UAGGGAAUCUUCGGCAAUGGGGGGAACCCUGACCGAGCAACGCCGCGUGAGUGAAGAAGGUUUUCGGAUCGUAAAGCUCUGUUGUUAAGGAAGAACGAGUGUGAGAAUGGAAGGUUCAUGCUGUGACGGUACUUAACCAGAAAGGGACGGCUAACUACGUGCCAGCAGCCGCGGUAAUACGUAGGUCCCGAGCGUUGUCCGGAUUUAUUGGGCGUAAAGCGAGCGCAGGCGGUUAGAAAAGUCUGAAGUGAAAGGCAGUGGCUCAACCAUUGUAGGCUUUGGAAACUGUUUAACUUGAGUGCAGAAGGGGAGAGUGGAAUUCCAUGUGUAGCGGUGAAAUGCGUAGAUAUAUGGAGGAACACCGGUGGCGAAAGCGGCUCUCUGGUCUGUAACUGACGCUGAGGCUCGAAAGCGUGGGGAGCGAACAGG